GUUGCGGUUAAAAAGCUCGUAGAUGGAUUUCUGUUGAGGUCGGCCAGUCCGCACCUCUGUGCGAGUAUUUGGUUCAGCCUCGGCAUCCUCCUGGGGAGCGUAAUUGUACUUGAUUGUAUGAUACGUAAUUCAGGACUUUUACUUUGAGGAAAUUAGAGUGUUCACGGCAGGCGAUUGCCUUGAAUAUGUUAGCAUGGAAUAAUAAUAUAAGACCUCGGUUUUAUUUUGUUGGUUUCUAGAAGCGAGGUAAUGACUAAUAGGGACAACUGGGGGUAUUCGAAUUAACGCGUCAGAGGUGGAAUUCUUGGAUUGCGUUACGACGAACUACUGCGAAAGCAUUUACCAAGGAUGUUUUCAUUGAUCAAGAACGAAAGUCAGGGGAUCGAAGACGAUUAGAUACCGUCGUAGUCUUGACCAUAAACUAUGCCGACUAGGGAUUAGAGGUCGCUCUUUUUACGGCUCCUUUAGCACCUUAUGAGAAAAUCAAAGUUCUUUGGGGUUCCGGGGGGAGUAUGGU
This 517-nucleotide ribosomal RNA is filed under the name uncultured marine eukaryote. RNAcentral describes it as "SSU rRNA". It matches the Rfam family "Eukaryotic small subunit ribosomal RNA", at positions 612 to 1129 of the family's 1831-position model. The record is from RNAcentral.